GAGUUGUUUUUGUUGGAAACACUCUUUGUCAAGUACCUGGGGGUCUUCAUCAGUAAGACCUCAUUUUAGACGCCUCCUGGCCUCCCCUUGCCAGGAGCACAGCUAUGACCUUAGGUACUCCUUCCGAAAAGAACUUGUUUAACUAAAGGCAAGUGUACCUCAUCCUUACCAUGGCCUCCUCCCAACGGGGAAGCAGAUAGCGCAGAAAAAAGAACACAACCAUUCCCCACAUACCUUCACACACGUCACAUACCUGCUACGUGAGAUGUGCAAAGCUGAAUUCAGGGAAUGCUCAGUGGUUACAUAACAGUGCCACCAAAGGCAAUUGUUUUCAGUGAUUUCCAUUGAGCUGGGUUCUGCAAAGAUCCACAGCACUUUCCGGCUGCAUGCUGGGCACUUUUGGAAGCUGCAGUCAAUUCUGGAGGCCACAGGGCACCAUUAGCACAUAGCAGCAAUUACUGACUAAAUGGUGCUCUGGUUCCAUGCCUUCCAAGGGGGCCCACUUAGAGGCAGGGUGGAGUUGCUUAGGGCCUUUUUUUUUUUUUAGAUGGAGUUUUGCUCUUGUUGCCCAAGCUGGAGUGCAAUGGUGUGAUCUUGGCUCACUGCAACCUCUGCUUCCUGGGUUCAAGUGAUUCCCCUGCCUCAGCCUCCCGAGUAGCAGGGAUUACAGAUGGAGCCUCACUCUGUCACCCAGGCUGGAGUGCAGUGGCACAAUCUCGGGUCACUGCAACCUCCGCCCCCCAGGUUCAAGCGAUUCUCCUGUCUCAGCCUCCCGAGUAGCUAGGAUUACAGGUGCAUGCCACCAGGCCUGGAUAAUUUUUAUAUUUUUAGUAGAGUUGGGAUUUUGCCAUGUUGGCCAGGCUGGUCUCAAACUCCUGACCUCAGGUGACCCAUCCACCUCAGCCUCCCAAAGUGCUGGGACUACAGGUGUGAGCCACCAUGCCUGGUCCCCCACUUGUUGAUUUUGCAGAAAAGAUAGCUGUGUUACAACCCGUCCUAAGGUCAGGUAUGAAUACUUGUGCUUCUUUCUUGGCUCCCCAAGCCAGAGGGCAUUCCUAUGCCCUGGUGAGAGAGCACGGAGUAUUACUUUGGCAGCAUAGUCAGUUACCAGAGGUGGGAAAAGCAAAGGCCAAGCAGGACAUGAGGGGCCCUUGCACUGGCUGGUUCUCCCUGCCUUCACCACCCUCCAGGUGAAUGACUAGGUGAGUAAUGAUUGACUGAGGAGGUAAUGAAUAAUUUAUGGACACUGCUGGACCUCAGUCUCCUCAUCUGAAAGAUGAGUGGUUGGAGAAGUUUAAUGGUUUUCAAAUGCUUUUUUUUUCAGUCUUCAAAUAAGUGUUUACGUAGAAGCACCAUAUCUGAAACAGGUGACAGUGGACCAGUCUGAAUGAAAUGAGGGUUGGCAGGUCUGAGCUCCAAAACCUUCUGAUUGCCUAAGCCCUCCUUGUCUUGCUUGGAUUAUCUCCACACAAAUGGAGAAACUGGACAAG
Molecule: small RNA, 1490 nt
Filed under: Pongo abelii (Sumatran orangutan)
Lineage: Eukaryota; Metazoa; Chordata; Mammalia; Primates; Hominidae
Description: retained intron
Source: RNAcentral